Molecule: ribosomal RNA, 232 nt
Filed under: uncultured bacterium
Lineage: Bacteria
Description: partial 16S ribosomal RNA
Rfam family: Bacterial small subunit ribosomal RNA
Source: RNAcentral
UGGGCAACCUGCCCUCAGCUCUGGGAUAACUCCGGGAAACCGGGGCUAAUACCGGAUACGACCUUCCUCUGCAUGGGGGUGGGUGGAAAGUUCUUCGGCUGAGGAUGGGCCCGCGGCCUAUCAGCUUGUUGGUGGGGUGAUGGCCUACCAAGGCGACGACGGGUAGCCGGCCUGAGAGGGCGACCGGCCACACUGGGACUGAGACACGGCCCAGACCUCCGUACGGGAGGCA